This 460-nucleotide ribosomal RNA is filed under the name uncultured bacterium. RNAcentral describes it as "partial 16S ribosomal RNA". It matches the Rfam family "Bacterial small subunit ribosomal RNA", at positions 338 to 795 of the family's 1533-position model. The record is from RNAcentral.
CCUACGGGUGGCAGCAGUGAGGAAUAUUGGUCAAUGGACGAGAGUCUGAACCAGCCAAGUAGCGUGAAGGAUGACUGCCCUAUGGGUUGUAAACUUCUUUUAUAUGGGAAUAAAAUGUUCCACGUGUGGGAUUUUGUAUGUACCAUAUGAAUAAGGAUCGGCUAACUCCGUGCCAGCAGCCGCGGUAAUACGGAGGAUCCGAGCGUUAUCCGGAUUUAUUGGGUUUAAAGGGAGCGUAGGUGGAUUGUUAAGUCAGUUGUGAAAGUUUGCGGCUCAACCGUAAGAUUGCAGUUGAAACUGGCAGUCUUGAGUACAGUAGAGGUGGGCGGAAUUCGUGGUGUAGCGGUGAAAUGCUUAGAUAUCACGAAGAACUCCGAUUGCGAAGGCAGUUCACUGGACUGCAACUGACACUGAGGCUCGAAAGUGUGGGUAUCAAACAGGAUUAGAUACCCGAGUAGUC